Molecule: small RNA, 472 nt
Filed under: Pongo abelii (Sumatran orangutan)
Lineage: Eukaryota; Metazoa; Chordata; Mammalia; Primates; Hominidae
Description: retained intron
Source: RNAcentral
GUCUUUUCUUGAUAAAAAGUUUGUCUUCUUUGAUAUUAUGCAUCUAUGCUUUAAAAAAAAAAGUUUUUCUUUUUAAAUGUUUAUCUUCCCACCCAGGCCGUCACCGAUGGGUUGUAUAUACUACUGAAAUGAAUGGCAAAAACACAUUCUGGGAUGUGGAUGGAAGCAUGGUGCCUCCUGAAUGGCAUCAUUGGCUUCACAGUAUAACUGAUGAUCCUCCAACAACAAAACCACUUACUGCUCGUAAAUUCAUUUGGACAAACCAUAAAUUCAACGUGACUGGCACCCCAGAACAAUAUGUACCUUAUUCUACCACUAGAAAGAAGAUUCAGGAGUGGAUCCCACCUUCAACACCUUACAAGUAAAGACAAUGAAGAACAGUUGAAACAUGCAAAAUAUGGAGCUUUUCAUGUAAUUACUCUUUUACUGUUUACCAUUCACUAUAAUUCACAAUUAAAAUUGUGUGACUAAA